UACGGGGGGGGCAAGCGUUGUUCGGAAUUACUGGGCGUAAAGGGCGCGUAGGCGGCCUUCUAAGUCAGACGUGAAAUCCCUCGGCUUAACCGGGGAACUGCGUCUGAUACUGGAUGGCUUGAGUUUGGGAGAGGGACGCGGAAUUCCAGGUGUAGCGGUGAAAUGCGUAGAUAUCUGGAGGAACACCGGUGGCGAAGGCGGCGUCCUGGACCAACACUGACACUGAUGAGCGAAAGCCAGGGGAGCAAACGGG
Molecule: ribosomal RNA, 253 nt
Filed under: uncultured bacterium
Lineage: Bacteria
Description: partial 16S ribosomal RNA
Rfam family: Bacterial small subunit ribosomal RNA
Source: RNAcentral